GAUGAACGCUGGCGGCGUGCUUAACACAUGCAAGUCGAACGGAAAGGCCCAAGCUUGCUUGGGUACUCGAGUGGCGAACGGGUGAGUAACACGUGGGUGAUCUGCCCUGCACUUCGGGAUAAGCCUGGGAAACUGGGUCUAAUACCGGAGAGGACCACUUCUUGGAUGUUGUGGUGGAAAGUUUUUUCGGUGUGGGAUGAGCUCGCGGCCUAUCAGCUUGUUGGUGGGGUAAUGGCCUACCAAGGCGUCGACGGGUAGCCGGCCUGAGAGGGUGUACGGCGACAUUGGGACUGAGAUACGGCCCAGACUCCUACGGGAGGCAGCAGUGGGGAAUAUUGCACAAUGGGCGCAAGCCUGAUGCAGCGACGCCGCGGGGGGGAUGACGGCCUUCGGGUUGUAAACUCAUUUCGCUAGGGACGAAGCGUUUUGUGACGGUACCUAGAGAAGAAGCACCGGCUAACUACGUG
Molecule: ribosomal RNA, 467 nt
Filed under: uncultured bacterium
Lineage: Bacteria
Description: partial 16S ribosomal RNA
Rfam family: Bacterial small subunit ribosomal RNA
Source: RNAcentral